AUUGAACGCUGGCGGCAGGCCUAACACAUGCAAGUCGAGCGGAUGAAGGGAGCUUGCUCCUGGAUUCAGCGGCGGACGGGUGAGUAAUGCCUAGGAAUCUGCCUGGUAGAGGGGGAUAACGUCCGGAAACGGGCGCUAAUACCGCAUACGUCCUGAUGGAGAAAGUGGGGGAUCUUCGGACCUCACGCUAUCAGAUGAGCCUAGGUCGGAUUAGCUAGUUGGUGGGGUAAAGGCCUACCAAGGCGACGAUCCGGAACUGGUAUGAGAGGAUGAUCAGUCACAGUGGAACUGAGACACGGUCCAGACUCCUACGGGAGGCAGCAGUGGGGAAUAUUGGACAAAGGGCGAAAGCCUGAUACAGCCAUGCCGCGUGUGUGAAGAAGGUCUUCGGAUUGUAAAGCACUUUAAGUUGGGAGGAAGGGCAGUAAGUUAAUACCUUGCUGUUUUGACGUUACCAACAGAAUAAGCACCGGCUAACUUCGUG
RNAcentral lists this ribosomal RNA (484 nucleotides) under uncultured bacterium. Its description in RNAcentral is "partial 16S ribosomal RNA". It matches the Rfam family "Bacterial small subunit ribosomal RNA", at positions 30 to 507 of the family's 1533-position model. The record is from RNAcentral.